RNAcentral lists this transfer RNA (89 nucleotides) under Mycobacterium basiliense. Its description in RNAcentral is "tRNA-Gly". Lineage: Bacteria; Bacillati; Actinomycetota; Actinomycetes; Mycobacteriales; Mycobacteriaceae. The record is from RNAcentral.
GUACCGGCGUGGCCGGCGUCCCCACCAGUGCCGCCGUUGCCGCCGGCGGGCGCGACGGUGCCGCCGGUUCCGAUGUCGGCGCCGGCGUU